UACAGGGGGUGCAAACGUUGCUCGGAAUCAUUGGGCGUAAAGCGCACGUAGGCGGUUCGUUAUGUCGGAUGUGAAAGCCCUUGGCUUAACCGAGGAAGUGCAUCCGAAACUGGCGAGCUAGAGUACUAAAGAGGAUCGCGGAAUUCCCGGUGUAGAGGUGAAAUUCUUAGAUAUUAGGAGGAAUACCGGUGGCGAAGGCGGCUAUCUGGAUCGUAUCUGACGCUGAGGCGCGAAAGCGUGGGGAGCAAACAGG
This 253-nucleotide ribosomal RNA is filed under the name uncultured bacterium. Its description in RNAcentral is "partial 16S ribosomal RNA". It matches the Rfam family "Bacterial small subunit ribosomal RNA", at positions 524 to 776 of the family's 1533-position model. The record is from RNAcentral.